This 1906-nucleotide ribosomal RNA is filed under the name Triticum aestivum (bread wheat). Its description in RNAcentral is "partial small subunit ribosomal RNA". The record is from RNAcentral. Lineage: Eukaryota; Viridiplantae; Streptophyta; Magnoliopsida; Poales; Poaceae.
GCCCGCGCCUCCGCACGAAGGGGCCGCCGUCGUCGUUGGAUGUUCGUUUCCCGCUGCCGCCGCCGCGAACUAAGUUAGACGUCCUCUCUCACUUCUACUCUUCCUCUUCUUCCUCUCCUCCCUCUUUCUCUCUCCUUUAUCCUCUCCCUCCGCCGCAGAUUACCCUCUCCCAGUCACGCCACCACGCCGCACGCCACCGGAGUCGCCCACCCACUGCGGUCUGUCGAGGACACGGAAUUAGGAGAGGAACGGCCGUGUUGUUCUCAUCCGCGUUCCUACGGCUCCAUCAAGUCAUACACCAGACUAUAAAGUUCUGACCUUCGGUUCUAGUUUUAUUACCUACAGGUUAUAAACGUCGUUUUCUAGUUCUCAACCGGUGAAACUGGGCUUGCCUCGGGUUUUUGUGACGGCCGAAGACUUUACAUAUGGUAGAAGCUCCCUCAUGCUUUCAAUCAGAGACAACGAAGACCAUAGUUAAAUGAUAUAAUGACGUUUCUUACUGCUACUCCAACUCAAGUAGGAGAAUCUCUUCUACAUACGAAAUCGUUGAGAAAAGGUCUAGCGUUAAGAUGUUUUUGUAUUUCAGAACACCUACACGUCCGGCUGGCGCCUGCGAAACACGAGAGGUGGCCGGUACCUACGUACGAGGUCAUGCGAGGUGAGGUUGAGCGGCCUAUGGUUCCGUAAUGCCCUACCCAAUCCCAAACGACGACCUAGGUCGCAAAAAGACAACUACCAACAGCAGACGAGCACGAGAGAUAACAGCCUGACGACCCUAGAGGGCAACAACACCAACCGAGCUGUCAAUACUAAAAACAGCUACCAGGGUAACGUCAAGUAAACUUCGUUUUCUUUCCGUACGUCUGAACCUAUAGGCUAAUUUUCCAUAUGUAAGUAACUCAAGUCCUCGCCUUACUACACGGUGGAUGUCCUUCUUUGACAUCAGUUCUUCUUGCACUAGUAAACUCUUCAUGCUAUUCCAUGUAUUGCAAGUCGGACUUUACCACAACCACGAAACACUUUUCAAACCGGUGGACUUGGACUGUAAAAGAUAACCUCUCGUAUAGUCAAGAUUACCGCAUUAAAACUAGCGUUACUGUAGCUACCGCGGCUCUCCUCCGUUUCGCCGUUCUGCACAAAACGGCACGACCCAGCUUGCGGCCGGUCUUGCACAGUGGCUGUACACGACCCAACGACCAGCUAAAGAACGAAACGCAUGUCAAGUGGUCGCCUAAUACCCAUUCUUACCUGAUUUCUUCCUACUACAACCUCUAGACUUUUAUUAAAAACCAACAACCUUUUAUUUUUUAGAUGUGCCCUUCUGGAGCCGUUUAUGAAAGUCGUUGUUUCUUUGUUUCAACUGGUGGGGCAGUAGUGCCACUCGUUCGACUGUAGGACGAGACGAAGAACUACGCCAAGCCGUACUACCGCCGCGUCUAUUUCCGGAAGAAGCUGAGGUUGCCACCGGAGACCGUCAUGGUCUCGUAGAGCCCGUUAGGGUGCCCGUAGAAGAAACGGUACCCGUGGGUCCCGUCCGUUCGCUUCUGAGUCUGGUAGCGGUGGACAGCAGAUGUAACUACGACCGCUCUCUUUUUUAUGUUCCUCGAUGUGUUGGUUUAACCUAGGGGUAGUUGUAGUCCUGUUUGUAACUUCUGUAGUUUCUUUCCUAUAGUUUCCUCUUCCUCCAUAAGGCUUUUUUCCUCUUCCUUCCGGACCAGACGAAAUACUUACCUGUGAGAAGGACGAUGUUUACACCGGUUGUACUAGUUAAGUCUAUAUCUUUAAUACGGUGGUUAACAAGUACCAACACGUGACUUAUCUACAAGGAGAUGAACAUUAUUUGUAUAAAAGGAAACAAAUACGUAAUUACCUAUACUAUAUUAAUCGCCAGGUUAACAGUAAAGUC